CUGGGAACCCUACACCGGGGGUAAUUGAGAUCAGAUGCGGCUGUGACCCACGGAAUGCUCCCCUGGAACCUGGAAGCAUUUAUUGUCUGGAAGAGAAUCCAGGGCCCGUUCUAGGCCCCCUCCCUCCCCGGCUGUCUCCUCCCCGGGCGGCUGAAGGUGGAUAGGGGCCCUGAGGAGCCUCUGGUGCUGGCCGGGGUUGGGCAGCCGGCCUUGAUGAAUCCGCUGCUGAAAGCACCUUCCUGGCUUCCUCCUUCCUGGGGAUACGGUUACAGGGGGCCAGACUUCCUGUCAAGCCCGCCCAGCUCUGCAGGGAUGGUUGGUAAUAGUACCUACUUCAGAGGGUUAUUGUGAAGAUAAAAUGAAGGAUCAUGGAUGAAGCUGCUAUAAGUUGAGGUCAACUACAAGGUUAGAGGGCACAGCCUGCACACGAGACCGCCCUUGCUUCUGACACCACCUGCAAGUUCCGGAGGUGCCCCAAACUGCCUUCAGAGAAUACAUUUUACUGUGAGAGAGCAGACAGACGGAGACAGGGAGGCCCUGCUCUGAGAUGCUGGGGCCAGGCAGGUAUUUCUCUUGGUAAUGGACUUGGCUUCUGGAGGCAGGUGUUCUUCCAGCCACCUCCCAGACACCCAGACCUUCCUGCUCCAGGUUCAGAGUCUGGAGCCUCCACCUCAGGAAGGCCUCCUCCUCACUGCACGAACUCUGACCUUGGGCAAGCUCCCUACAGUCUGUGGGGCUCAGUUUCCCCAUCCAUAAAAUGAGAAAAUUGGCCUAAAUUCCCUCCCAGCUCUGGUGUGCAUCGUUCCGAUUUCCUGAUGGGGGAAACAUUUUUAACUCCCGGGCUCAGGAGGCCUCAGGCCUGGUUUAUCAGCCUCAGGGUGGUUCUCAGGCGGUGACUGUUGUUCUCCUGGGAGGGAAGAGGUGGAAGGGAUGAAGCGAUGGAGGCAUCUCUGUUCAGCAGAGAUAACUCCCCAGCCAGAGGUUGGAACAUGAAGCAGAUUGUGCCAGAAAUAGAGACAGAGAUGGAGAGGGACAGAGUCAGCAGGAGGGAGAUAGCAACUCAGAGAUACUGAAAGAGGAAGAGAGCAUCCAAGACAGAGAUGAAGAGACAGGGCCACCACAGACAGAGGAAGAGAUAACAGACUGCCAGGGAGAGAGAAAGAGAGAAACAGAGAGAUGAGACCCAGACUGAGCGAUAAAGGCAGGAAAAGGAGGGCGGGACCAGAAUACAGUAGAAUGAGACUAGUUGGAUGGGGCAGAAAAGCCAGCAACUGAGCCUUCUGCUCUCUGGGGGUCAAGCUAGAUCCUGCUUUUGCCUGCAAGGUGCCUGGAUCUGGUGGUCCUUCUUCUGCUCAUCAAAUUUCCUCUGGGACUGGGACCCUCCUGCUCCACAACCUAAAUGUCCUCCAGACCUCACCUCCCUGGGGGUAGUGUGUGCAGAGAUGAGAGGCCGCACAGGCUUCCUGGCCUUGGGGUUUUGUUAAAGGGUAGGGGUAAAUGGUGAGGAGUGAGAGAUGAAUGAAGGUUAUUACCUUUAGGGGGAUGUGGUUAGGGUUGGCAGAAAAGCAAGGAGGUGGAAAGUUCAAAGAAAAAUUUCCCCAUCUUUCUUUAGCUCAGGCAUUAACUCUGUGUCUCACUAUUUAGGGAAUGAUAGGGAAUCUGGCAGUGGGGGGAGGGUUCCAGGUACUUAGUGUUGGAUGGAAGGAGGAGAUACAAAAGGAGAAGAACUGAGCUGGGCAAGGAUGGGUUUAGUUGAGUUGAAAUAUGUUGAACGUAGUUGGUUUGGUUGGGGUGGAGUGGAGUUGUGUUACGUCAUGUUGGGGUGGGUUGGGUUGAAUAAAAUUUAGUUUUGUUGGAUUGACUGGAGUUGGAUUUGGGAGCGGAGCUGAGUUGAACUGAUUUGACUUGAAUUUAGUAGAGUUAAGCUGAGUUGGGUUGUGUUGAGAAAGGUUGGGUUGGGUUGAAUGAAGUGGAGUUGAGUUUGAUUGAAUUGAGUUAGGUUGGAUUUAAGUAGGUUGAGUGGAAAUAAGCUGGGUUGACUUGAGUUGGAUUUAGGAAGAUUGAGGUGGGUUGAGUUGAGUUAAUUAGGUUGAGUUGCUCUGGAGUAAGAAAGCUAUAAGACUCCAAGAAGACAGGAGUAAGGAGGAGCCCAGAUCCAGCAUAAUCCAAAUUAUGCUGCCAGGGAAGGAAGAUGGAGUGAGAUACCAACAAGGAGAGACCUGCUGAGGGGAGAUGUCCAAGGCUGAGAUCUAAACAGAUCUUUGAGUCGGAGAUGGUUUGGCAAACAAAUGAUCUGUUUCAGUGUUUCUCUGUCUUUUUACCACUCUACACUUCCACUGGUAUGGAGGUUCAGUAUGGCUGUGAUUCGCAUCUUGUGAUGGGAAGAAGUGAAUAUUAGAAUCUCAUUUGCUCAUUUGCAUGUGCUCACGUGUGUGUGUGUGUGUGUGUGUGUGGAAGGGGAGUGUAAUUCGAAAAAAUACCUAAAGGAGAUUCUUAGAUGCCUCCCAAGCUAGAGCAUGCUCCAGGUGAGAAUCAAUAUCCCACAGAAUCUUUUUUAUUCCCCAAAUUUAUUAAAAUGUAUUUGACAUGUUACAGUGUGUAAGUUUAAGGUGUACAACGUGAUGAUUUGAUACACAUACAUAUUGCAAAAUGAUUACCACAACGUUAGUUAACACAUCCCUUACCUCACAGUUACCGUUUAUGUGUGUGUUGAGAACAUUUAAGAUCUGCUCUCUUAGCAACUUUCAAGUAUACGAUAUGGUACUAUUAACAAUAGUCCCCGUGCUGUAUAUUUGAUCCUCAGAACUUUCUCAUCUCAGAGUUGGAAGUUUGUCCACUUUGACCACCAUCACCCAUUUUCUUUAACCCCCAGCCCCUGGCAACCACCAAUCUACCCUUUCUAUGUG
This 2906-nucleotide long non-coding RNA is filed under the name Equus caballus (horse). RNAcentral's name for it is "lncRNA (ENSECAG00000059119.1)". The record is from RNAcentral. Lineage: Eukaryota; Metazoa; Chordata; Mammalia; Perissodactyla; Equidae.